CAAGCUUGCGUCUAUAGGUCUG
This 22-nucleotide microRNA is filed under the name Oryctolagus cuniculus (rabbit). Its description in RNAcentral is "ocu-miR-100-3p". Its record names the gene ocu-miR-100-3p. The record is from miRBase by way of RNAcentral. Lineage: Eukaryota; Metazoa; Chordata; Mammalia; Lagomorpha; Leporidae.